UUCCCUUUAUACUUCUCAAAAUCUGGGAUCUUGAACUUGUGAGGUAUCUGGACAUUCGGCACCAAACAGAGAUCAUAAGCGGUCUUUCCAAAUUUUUCUUUCCCACGGAGAGCCCUCAUUUCUCGAUGCAUUUCAUCAUAUUUUUCCCGUAAGUCAUUCAUUCUAUCAUCGGGCUCCAUGUUCCCUGAAUGGAAGAUGGGUUCUUCAUUUUGUGGAAUGGUAUGCAUCAUAGGUGUUGAAUAAGUCAUGACAACUGGAGGAGCUCUUACAGGAAGCGGAGGAACAUGAGCUACAUAUUGAUGAGUAGGCAUCUGAGUUUCAGAAGCAAUAGGGCAGAAUACUUCACUGAGACAAAUAGGGACACUCCAAGGACGAUCUUCUGGCCUAGAAUUUGGGGAAGUACUGACAGGUAUCGUCCAUUCAGGAAAAAUAGAGACAGUUGCUUUGGCUUGAGUGCUGAUAGGAGGAGGAGGAGGUGGUGGUUGAUUAUGUGCAGCCGUCAAUGCUUUCAUCAAUUCAGUCAUUUCAUCCAUCUUAGUUCGCAUGACUGCCACUCCCUCACGGAGCAAUUGAUUUUCUUGUUUGAGAAACUUCAUCCUUUCUUCAUGAUUGUUCGAGUGUUGUAAAUGCGAGUGAGUUUCAGACGAGGAUGCCAUGACUCUUUGAGAUGGACUGGCCUUUAGUAGAAAAGACACAGUGUAAGACUCUGACUUGAAACUAUGAAUGCAAAUGAUGCAUGCUUAUGCAAAAACAGACACGUUUCUUUUUUGAAGGACUUGUCAAAGUAAUUGUAAACUUGAUAAGGAACAUUGUUUUAUUGUAAAGACGUUGCAAUUGGUUCCCUUUCAAAAGUAAGAACGAAACCAAGGAAAAAGUUCUUAACAAAAGCUAAAGCUUUUUUGAAGUUUUGGGUUUCUUGGUGUUCCUUCUUACAAGGACCAUAUCUUUGAUGUUUACGAAAACUUAUCUAAGUCCUUCGAUAUUUUGAUGAAAAAAAAGAUGAAAUUAUGAAUGCAUGUAUGCAUGAUUAUGCUACACAAACGGUGAAAACACGGUGAUGUUAGGUCCACAAUGUCGGAGCUUAAGGGUAACAACGCCAUUAGGGACUAUGGUUUCAAAUGUACCUGUAUCACGGGUUCUACCAAGUUCCCAAAGUCCUUAACCACUUUCAAAUAUUUAUCAGGUGACGGGACUACUCCCAUUCCAAUAAUAUUUGUAGGAAAGUCUCGUUUGGGUGUAGUAUCGCGUAUCAACCAAUUCAAGACUACUCUUGGUUAGCCACCGCACUACGUCCUAAAAGGCCAAGAUGGGUUAAUGGUAACUAAAGGUCCUCAACAUCGACGGUCACUUGAAAAUACAAUGCCAACACGACCACUCAUGCCGACAUAAAUUACUUCCAAGAUCCCUCCAUUGAGUGGGGUUAUACCACAUGAACCAAAACACGAGACUUGACUCUCGGAAAGGCACUUUGGUUAUACCACCAUCCUAUCUUAUGUUUCCCUCAAGCCCGGGUGUAGGACUUAUCUCACCACUCACGUUUAGAAAGAAGAAAGAAGAAGGAAGAACAUAUAUACACGUAUUUCCAUCUUUUAUUUUUGUUUUAGUUUUAAGCAAGUUAUAGCACAAAGAGUUAAAUAAAGCCAAGUUAGGCUCAACCCUCUUAGGGGAUCCCCAGUGAAGUCGCCAUUUCUGUCGCGUCAUUUUUUGGAGAUCAAGGCUAUUUGAUUAGCUUUUGACUCACUAAUUAUUUCACGACUGAACAUUUAAUUUUUUAAGAAAAGGGGAAAAAAUUUCAAACUACCCCAUUUUGAAAAGAUUUAGGGUUCGGGGGUUAGUUACAUAAAGGGAAGGUGUUAGCACCCUUUAUGUCCGUAGUACUCUACGGGAACCUCUUGGUUUUUAUUUAAUUUUCGUGCUAUAACUUGCUUGCUUUUGAAAAGAAGGAAUUAAUGUGAUGAAAAAGAAAAUAAAGUGAGACCUAAUUUAUCUACAUUUUUUAUUGUUUGAAAGGACAUGGUCCUCUGCCUACGUACCCGUGAAGGAUCAAAACCUCGUAGUUCGGGGUAGAAAUUGACGUUUGAUUUGUUGAGUGUUUUUUAUUAAUUUUGAAAAAGGUUUUAAAAUGAAAAGCCAAGUGGCAAAUAAGAAUUUGUUUGUGUUUUUUAUAUUAAAGAAAAUGACUUAAAGUUGAAUUAAAGUUGAUUGAAAUUUGAUAAAAAUAAAAAGAGACGAUCACUUGAUUUAGGAUCAAGGUUUGUUUAUGAAAAUAUUUUUGUGAUUUUUGUUAUUUGCAUGUUUUUGUUGUUUUUGAAUAAUUGGACUAAAAAAUUAAACUAACGGAGCAUAAAAAUAAAAAAACGUAGGUACCUCAUGGGGUAUUGGACCACCACCUUUGACCUAAACUACAAAGCAGAUAAGAGACAUACACACACAUGCACCUACGACUAUUACAUAAAAGCCUAUUUACAUUCUAAGGUCUGCAGAAAAUAAAUGACAAGAAAAAUAAAUAAAUUAUUUACAUCAAUGCCUAUUGUACAUUCUAAAUCAAUGCAAGUAAAUAAAAGAUAUAAAAUAAAUAUGUGAAUGCUGAUAAAUAAUAAGAUAAAAGAAAAUAAAAAUGCUAAAGAAAAAAUAAAUGCAAGGGAAAUUUAAAAACGCAUGAAAACGGUAAAAAAAGAAAGAUGAUGGGGGUGCAGGUAGUAAGCAGGGGGGGUGCAGGAAGUAAAAAAAGAAUUGGGCUUCAUGGAGAGGCUUGGGCGCGCUUAGUGGGCUUAAACCGGUUUGGUUCAGGCCUGAAUCGGUUCAGGAGAACCAAACCGGUUCAGGGGGCUAUAUAAAGGGUGUAACGGUUUUUUCACUCAUUUCCUACAUCCCUUUCUCUCUCUUCCCUUUUUCUUUCCCUCAUAUGCUCUCUCCUCUCUCUUACUCCUUCUUUCUUCUCCGACCAGCAUGAGUUUUCCGGCGCGGUGGUCGCCGGCCUAGGGUGGUGGCGCCGCCGCGCCGGAGACAAAACAUCUCCCCUUUUUUUUUUAAAUUUUCGGUUUUCCUACCUAUUUUCUCUUCUCUAUCCGUUUCUAGCCUUAAAAUUUCCCAACACUAAGCCUAGGCUUCUAGAUCUAAAAAAAAAGAGGAAAACUACCUUUGGUUACAGCUUCGGUUCAGCUUUGUGUUAAUUCGUUUUGAUUCCUGGUUCGUGUUUGGCUUGUGCUGCUGCGUGUUUGGGGUUGUGUCGCUUCUGUGUGUGUGUGUUUGUUGGGUUGUGCGCCUCUCUCUGUGUUGUGGUGUUGCUUCCUGUGCGUGUGUGUUUUGUUGUGUUGCUGCGUGUUGAUGCUGUGUUGCGAUUCCGUUUCCUCUAUUGUUCCUGUGUGUUUUUGAUUGUGUUUGGCAGGUUGCAAUUUAUAGUGCUGGGAUUUGGGUUUAGGGUUUGUUAAAAGAGUAGAUAAAUGUGGCUUUGGAUUGAGAUGAAGAACACGACUGGAUUUGGAUUGAAUGAGCAUGGGAAACGCGUUUGCACUGGCGUGACAGACUAUUUUUUUUUUUAUUGAAAAGAAAAAAACGUGUUUAUGCAUCUGGACCACUUUUUGGAUUUUUUGACACUUUUGGACUUAUCUCUUAAAUUUUUUUUAAAAAAUGAAAUAAAUAAUAAAAUAAAAAGGAAAUAAAAUUUACAUUUUCGGUUUUUUUUUGAUAAAAAUAAAAAAAAAUAAAAACAAAAAUAAAAAAUGAAAUUUGGAUUUAAUGGGAAUAAAAAGAAAUUAAAUUAAAUUUAGACUAAAGUUAAAAUAAAAAUUUAAAAGAUGGAAAUAAUUUUAAAGACUGAGAUAAGAGGGCCCGACUCAGAACAAAAUGAGGUAUUUUAAAAUACCUUCCUGCCGAAUUUUUCACUGAAACGUGAGACCGAUCAGGGUUAAAUGGCGCGUGUCAGUGGGAUCUUGGGUCAAAAAUUGGGGUAUGACAGUGGUGAAAUGCAACCUACACCCAGAAAGGCCUCUAAGACAGUCCCUGAAAAGACUGUUUUGGAAAACCAACAAACAGAAACCCAAACAGAAACUCAAACCAUCCCUGAGCAAACUGUUCCUGAACAUACUUGUCGCGUCAUUUAUUGGAGAUCAAGGCUAUUUGAUUAGCUUUUGACUCACUAAUUAUUUCACGACUGAACAUUUAAUUUUAUUAAGAAAAGGGGAAAAAAGUUCAAACACCCCAUUUUGAAAAGAUUUUGGGUUCGGGGGUUAGUUACAUAAAGGGAAGGUAUUAGCACCCUUUAUGUCCGUAGUACUCUACGGGAACCUCUUGGUUUUUAUUUAAUUUUCGUGCUAUAACUUGCUUGCUUAUUUUGAAAAGAAGAAUUAAAGUGAAAAAAGAUAAAGACCUAAAUAUCUACAUUUUUUAUUGUUUGAAAGGACAUGGUCCUCUACCUACGUACCCGUGAAGGAUCAAAACCUCGUAGUUCGGGGUAAAAAUUGACGUUUGAUUGGUGGUGUGUUUUUUAUUAGUUUUGAAAAAAAGGUUUUAAAAGGAAAAGCCAAAUGGCAAAAUAAAUUUGUUUGUGUUUUUUUAUGUUAAAAGAAAAUGACUUAAUGUAUGAUUAAAGUUGAUUGCAAUUUGAUUUAUGAAAGAAUAAAAUAAAGACGAUCACUUGAUUUAGGAUCAAGGUUUGUUUAUGAAAAUGUUUUUGUGAUUUUUGAAUAAUGGCUAAACUAACGGAGCAAGAAAAUAAAACGUAGUAACAUAAGCAGAAAAAUAAAGCAUACACCCACACACGCACACAUGCAUGACUUACAUUAAAGCCUAGAUACAUGCUAUGGUCUGCGAAAAGUAAAUGACGGAAAAAAUAAAUAAUUUACAUUAAGCCUAUAUUUACAUUCUAAUAUCCUUGUUGUAGAAAUAAAUGACAUAAAAAAAAAAAAAGAAUAAUGAAUUUAAUUCUAAAAUGCAUGCAGAACUUAAAAUAAAAUAAAAUUGGUUCAAUCACAAGGUGGGGUGCAGCAGUAUUAUGGGGUGUGCAGAAUAGUAAAACAAAAAAGAAACUGGGCUCAGAGGCGCGCGUUGGGCCUCACGGGUUGGGGAAUUGGGCUUAAACCAGUUCGGUUCAAACCUGGUUCGGUUCACCUGAACCGAACCGGUUCGAGGAGAACAUAUAUAUGUGGUGUGCCGGUUUUCUCUUCAUUUGUUCAUUCCAUUUCUCUCUCUUAUCCCUCAAAUUCUCUCUUCUCUCUCUGUUUCUUUCUUCUUCUCUGGUUGGAGAUGGGGUGGCCGGAGGCGGUUCCGACGCGGCGGUCGGCGAGCCAUCGCGGCUGCGCCGCCGCGUCGGAGACAAAAACUUGUCCUUUUUUUUAUUUUUUUUCGGCUUUUUCUUUCUUUUCCUUCCCUAGUUCCGAUUUCAGUCUCAGAAUUUUAAAAUGAACUACCCACAGUCCUAGAUCUAGAUCUAGAGAGACAGCAAAGUGAAAAAGGGAUACUAAGGGAUACUACCUUUAUGUUAAACCUUUGAUUCGGUUUUGUUCCGAUUAGGACCUCGAACUUUGACGGAUUUGUGAUGGUUGCUUCGUUGAUGUUGUUCCUUGUUGGUUUUGCUUUCCUGCGAAUUUCGGCCCCUUUUCUGUGUGCGCGCGUUGCUGGCCGCUUUUCUCGGUGUUUCCCUCUCUGGUUUCUGUGUGUUUGCUGUGUUUCCUCUGUUUCUGUGUCUCUGAAUUUCGGCCGUAAAAAAAUGUUGGUUUCUUUGUGAAUUCCCGGCCCUUUCACUUGUUGAUUUGCAGGUUGUAUUUAUAGUCAAGGGAUUAGGGAUUAGGGUUUGUUAAAGGAUGCAGAAAAUCUGCAUUUUGGAUUGGAAUGAAAGCUGGUUCUUGGAUUUGGAUGGAAGAACGCGUGACAGACUUUUUGGAUUGAGACCUUUUUUUGAUUUUUUUUUAUAGCUAAAAUAAAAUAAAAAAUGAAAAAUAAAAGAUAACACAUACUUGGACUUUGGACUUAUCUUGACUAAUUAAAAUAAAAAGAUUUAAAAAGAGUUAAGUUUAAGACAAAAGAUGGAAAUAAAGAUCAAAAUGAAAAUUGAGAGAGGAGGGUCUGAUUCGAAUCCAAAAUGAGGUAUUUUAAAAUACCUCUCUGCCGAAUCUUUCAUUGAAAAAUCAAGGAUUGAUCAGGGUUAAACGACACGGGUCAGUGGGAACUUAGGUCAAAAAUUGGGGUAUGACAGAUGCCCCUAUUUAAGUUUCUUCGUCCAGAGAUUUGAAGAUGAAAUCUUUGAUUUGAUGGGCCGAAGAGACUUAAAUAUAAAAGUACUCCAAUUUUGACCUAAGAUAUUAUGAAUGCUCAUGAUGUAAUUAUGAAUGCAUGACGACAAAGAUGUCUUGACUGUAAUGAGAAAAGACAACGGGAUACCCAAAUUCUUUUAGAGAGGGAUCCGACUCCACUAGGGGGGAAUGUAGUUGCACUGGGGAAAAUGAUUGUCUAUGACAGUUUAAUGGAGGCAAGAUUUUUAGUGACACUUUUUGACUUGAUAAAAAGGUUUGCGAGAGUCCACUCGGCUUGGUAAACAUAUGCGAGAAUCCACUCGGCUUGAUAAGCAUCUGCGAGAAUCCACUCAGCUUUUGAUAAACAUUCGCGAGAAUCCACUCGGCUUUUGAUCAACAUUUGCGAGAAUCCACUCGGCUUUUUGAUAAAAGGUUUGCUGGAAUCCACCAGGCUUUUGCGAGAAUCCACUCGGCUUUUGAUAAACAUUUGCGAGAAUCCACUCGGCUUUUUGAUAAAAGGUUUGCUGGAAUCCACCAGGCUUUUGCGAGAAUCCACUCGGCUUUUGAUAAACAUUUGCGAGAAUCCACUCGGCUUUUUGAUAAAAGGUUUGCUGGAAUCCACCAGGCUUUUGCGAGAAUCCACUCGGCUUUUGAUAAACAUUUGCGAGAAUCCACUCGGCUUUUUGAUAAAAGGUUUGCUGGAAUCCACCAGGCUUUUGCGAGAAUCCACUCGGCUUUUGAUAAAAGGUUUGCUGGAAUCCACCAGGCUUUUGCGAGACUUGAAACAAGAUAAAAAGUAAACUCAAGCGUCCGUUGGUGGACUGGUGACUUGAAACUGACAGGUGACAUCUCUGGACUAGACACACUUGGGAUGACACUUUGAUGAUAAGAAGGUAAAUGGAAGAUGUUCAUUUGUAGAAACUUGAGGCACAUGGUGAUAAGUUAAGGCCGAACUGAAGAGACACGACUGAAACGAUAUUCUGGAUGACUGAUGCAAUUAUGUGUGAAUUGAUGUUAUGCAUAUGCUGCGUACGCAAAAACGUAUGAAUAUGUGAAAAAUAUUGAUGAAUGCAUGAUUGUAUGAAUGUAUGGAUGUGUGAAUGUAUGAAUGUGCGACUACAUGACUAUAUAUGACAUGUGACUCGAUGAACGGAGACGAGACAGGUAAGAUGGGAGAUGGACUGACAUCGUAGUACACACACUCGGCGAACUUCCUUGGAGAUGAUACUAUUGUGAACAAAACGGGCCGUCGACGGUGUAAGAACCAGGCACAAGGUAGCAACUGAUGCCUCUUGGGGGUAAAGCCCAUUGUUGAUAAAAAAGUAUGGAAGAAGUCACCAUUUGUGAACCGGCAUAGAGUGUUCUUCCUUUGGUAUGCUUCAGCAGUCAUGCUUUUUGUUUUAUUAUUAUUUUUUUUGAAAAUCCCUAACUUUUGCCUGGGCCGCCCUUUCGGGUUUUCAGUCCAUCGGGAAUAUAUUCUUUUUUCUGCCCCUAAUUUUUGCCUGGAUCGCCCUUUCGGGUUUUCAGUCCACCGGGACGCUCUCUAUUGCUUAAGUCGCCUUUUCAGGUUUUCAACUUAGCGAGCUUUGAUUUUUUUUUUGUAUUUUUCGACUGUGACAGCAUCUUGCUCAACGUAGAGGUCCUUUCCAUAGUGCUUAGCCAUGUUUCUCUUCUGGAGUGUAACUGCUCUUGAGGCGGAUGCUGAUGCACGCUUCACCUACUCACGAGUUCAAAGAGAGUGUGUUUGUUGUUCAAACUAUUCAAAAGAUGUAAAACAAGUUUUUUAUUUUUGAAUUUUUUUUUUUGCUUUAAGUACUGCCAAUAGAAGAAAUUUAUGCAAAUAGAAUAAAUGAGAGUUUCAAAUAAAUGGGCACAGGCUCAAAUUUCGAAUGAAUUGAGUGGUGACCUACCAAAGGCAUGGAUCCACGGAUUUUUGAAAAUUUUGGAAAAAUGGUAAAUGUAAUGGGAAGGGUACAUUGAACACAGUAACCACUAUUCUCCCUAACAAUCUUGAAUGCCCCUGUUCCGAGUCUUUGAUCUGCAGAUGCUUCGAAUCGGAGGUGUUUUGAUAGUCAAGAUGCCCCAAGUGGGUUGUGUCUGAUCGGAUGCAGUUACUUUGUCUUUUGAUCCUUAACUUUUGCAUAGAUCGCCCUUUCAGGUUUUUGAUCUAUCAGGAUAAUCAUUUUUUGUUCUUGUCUCUAAUUUUUGCCUGGACCGCCCUUUUGGGUUUUCAGUCCACCGAGACGCUCAUUUUUGCCUAAGCCGCUUUUUUCAAGUUCGCGACUUAUCCAGCUUUUAUUUUUUGACAGAGUAUCCCUUGACUGCACCGGCUUGCGGGUUUGUCAACAUCCAUAGUCGCAAGAGUCUUUGCACACAGGCCUUCAUAGUUAGGCAUCCACUUGCCCCUGGAGUCUGGUUGGAAAGGUAGUACCUUUUUGGGCACAAAGUCUCUUUCUUGAAUUUCACGGGGACGAACCUUCUUGUUGUAUACUUGAGGGAAGGAGGGGAGUUGCCCCUGUUGAAAUGUGUACUGAAACAAGAUAUCCGAGCAAAGCGAGUGGUAGCACCUCGAGCCAGUCUUUGUAAGCAAUUGCCAUUUUCUGGACUAUCUUUAUGAUUUUUGUAGCUUUGACGGCUAUGAUGCCCCAGCAUGUGAGAGAUCAUGUCGGGAGUCUCUUCAUUCUUAUCUUCUUCAGCUUCGGAUACAGGGAACUCAAAGUUUGAAGAGAUUUCAUGGUUAAUGUGUUCAACGGGUUUAUUAAUGCAUGAUUUAUUGUUGAUUUUUGACAAGCAAGUACAAGUUAUGAUUAUGCAAAUAUUUGAGAAUGAUUAAAGAAAAAAAAAAUUGGUUCUUUGUAUUACCAUUUUUCCAGAAAAAGCACAAAAUAAAACAAAGUUGGGAUCAAAACGACAUUUUUAUUAAUGAUGACAAUUCUGAAAGAAAAAAGCCCUACACCAGUUCACUUUCAUCUCGGGCGGGACGAAAGGAUGUUUUUAUUUUUGAAAAGGUAGUAAACAAACAAACAUAACACUGGAAACAAAUCGAGUAGCAGAAGAAGACAUAAACAUCAACCCAAUUGCGGCUAAUCCCUCUUUAUGUUGCAACAUUUAGAUAUCAUGACCCAGUAGUGGAUUGGCUUGCACAUUUGGAGUCAAGUUCUAGAAAGUCAGGCGGUUGGUCCUGAUCAAAUCUUGGACCGCAUUCUUCAUUGCAUUGCAGUGUUCAAUAUCAUGGCCAGGUGCCCCUUGAUGGAAGGUACAAAAAAGGUCAGGUCUAUACCAUGCUGGCAAUCUUGCUGGUACCGGAGGAGGCGCCUUGGUUUGGACAAGAUUCUUUUUGAGCAAUUGUGGAAGCAAAUCCGCAUAUUUCAUGGGGAUCGGGUCAAAUUGUGUCCUUGAGGCCUGUUUUUGAGACUGCUGUUGAAGUUGUGGAUGGUAACCCGGCUGUUGAAUGGCACUGGCAGCGGGUGUGACUGUAGCAACAUGUUGAUGAGCCGAAUAUUUUUGUUGAGGCCUUCCAUGGGCCACCACACUGGCAGAAGUUUCAUCUCUAACUAAACGUCCUUCUCGGACUCCUUCUUCCAACUGUACACCCAUACCGACCAUCUCAGCAAAGUUCUUGGGCGUACUUCCGACCAUCUUCUCGUAGUAGAACUGAUUGAGAGUUUUUAAGAAGAGUUUGGUCAUCUCUUUCUCUUCUACACACGGGAUGACUUGGGCAGUGGUAUCCCUCCAUCGCUGGGCAUACUCCUUGAAUGUUUCCUUAUUCUCUUGAGUCAUUGCCUGAAGAUCGCUUCGGUCUGGAGCCAUAUCCACAUUAUAACUGUAUUGUUCCACAAAAGCUUCACAUAGAUCACGAAAAGUUUGGAUUCUUGUUUCGUCUAGAUUCGUGUACCAUUUUGAGGCGGGACCAGCCAAACUCUCUUGGAAGUAAUAAAUAAGGACCUGAUCGUCCCGAGCAUAUGCAUACAUUCUUCUUACAUACAUUUUCAAAUGUUCCUCAGGGCAGGAGUUCCCUUUAUACUUCUCGAAAUCAGGGAUCUUGAACUUGUGAGGUAUCUGAAUAUUCGGCACCAAACAGAGAUCGUAAGCGGUCUUUCCAAAUUUUCCUCUCUCGCGGAGAGCCCUCAUUUCUCGAUGCAUUUCAUCAUAUUUUUCCUGCAAGUCAAUCACUCUAUCAUCGGGUUCCAUGUUCCCUGAAUGGAAGAUAGGUUCUUCAUUUUGUGGAAUGGUAUGUAUUACAGGUGCUGAGUAAGUCAUGACAACUGGAGGAGCUCUUACAGGA
This 10515-nucleotide long non-coding RNA is filed under the name Medicago truncatula (barrel medic). RNAcentral's name for it is "long non-coding RNA (MTRU_LNC004218)". Lineage: Eukaryota; Viridiplantae; Streptophyta; Magnoliopsida; Fabales; Fabaceae. The record is from RNAcentral.